GCCAAUGUGGUGUAAUGGUUUGAGUGUUGGACUGCAACUCUGGAGACCAGGGUUCAAUUCUCAGCUGAGUCA
Molecule: non-coding RNA, 72 nt
Organism: Phrynosoma platyrhinos (Desert horned lizard)
Lineage: Eukaryota; Metazoa; Chordata; Lepidosauria; Squamata; Phrynosomatidae
Source: the annotation of a GenBank genome assembly